UAGGGAAUCUUCGGCAAUGGGGGGAACCCUGACCGAGCAACGCCGCGUGAGUGAAGAAGGUUUUCGGAUCGUAAAGCUCUGUUGUUAAGGAAGAACGAGUGUGAGAAUGGAAAGUUCAUACUGUGACGGUACUUAACCAGAAAGGGACGGCUAACUACGUGCCAGCAGCCGCGGUAAUACGUAGGUCCCGAGCGUUGUCCGGAUUUAUUGGGCGUAAAGCGAGCGCAGGCGGUUAGAUAAGUCUGAAGUUAAAGGCAGUGGCUCAACCAUUGUAGGCUUUGGAAACUGUUUAACUUGAGUGCAGAAGGGGAGAGUGGAAUUCCAUGUGUAGCGGUGAAAUGCGUAGAUAUAUGGAGGAACACCGGUGGCGAAAGCGGCUCUCUGGACUGUAACUGACGCUGAGGCUCGAAAGCGUGGGGAGCGAACAGG
Molecule: ribosomal RNA, 429 nt
Filed under: Bacteroidota bacterium
Lineage: Bacteria; Pseudomonadati; Bacteroidota
Description: Bacteroidetes bacterium partial 16S ribosomal RNA
Rfam family: Bacterial small subunit ribosomal RNA
Source: RNAcentral